Molecule: ribosomal RNA, 253 nt
Filed under: uncultured bacterium
Lineage: Bacteria
Description: partial 16S ribosomal RNA
Rfam family: Bacterial small subunit ribosomal RNA
Source: RNAcentral
UACAUGGGGUGCAAACGUUGCUCGGAAUUAUUGGGCGUAAAGCGCGCGUAGGCGGUUGCUUAAGUCGGAUGUGAAAGCCCUUGGCUUAACCGAGGAAGUGCACCCGAAACUGAGCAGCUUGAGUACGAAAGAGGGUCGCGGAAUUCCCGGUGUAGAGGUGAAAUUCGUAGAUAUCGGGAGGAACACCGGUGGCGAAGGAGGCGACCUGGGUCGAGACUGACGCUGAGGCGCGAAAGCGUGGGGAGCAAACAGG